UGGGGUUGGUGACGGUACCUGCAGAAGAAGCGCCGGCUAACUACGUGCCAGCAGCCGCGGUAAUACGUAGGGCGCAAGCGUUAUCCGGAAUUAUUGGGCGUAAAGAGCUCGUAGGCGGUUUGUCGCGUCUGUCGUGAAAGUCCGGGGCUUAACCCCGGAUCUGCGGUGGGUACGGGCAGACUAGAGUGCAGUAGGGGAGACUGGAAUUCCUGGUGUAGCGGUGAAAUGCGCAGAUAUCAGGAGGAACACCGAUGGCGAAGGCAGGUCUCUGGGCUGUAACUGACGCUGAGGAGCGAAAGCAUGGGGAGCGAACAGGAUUAGAUACCCUGGUAGUCCAUGCCGUAAACGUUGGGCACUAGGUGUGGGGGACAUUCCACGUUUUCCGCGCCGUAGCUAACGCAUUAAGUGCCCCGCCUGGGGAGUACGGCCGCAAGGCUAAAACUCAAAGGAAUUGACGGGGGCCCGCACAAGCGGCGGAGCAUGCGGAUUAAUUCGAUGCAACGCGAAGAACCUUACCAAGGCUUGACAUGAACCGGAAUGAUGCAGAGAUGUGUCAGCCACUUGUGGCCGGUUUACAGGUGGUGCAUGGUUGUCGUCAGCUCGUGUCGUGAGAUGUUGGGUUAAGUCCCGCAACGAGCGCAACCCUCGUUCCAUGUUGCCAGCGGGUUAUGCCGGGGACUCAUGGGAGACUGCCGGGGUCAACUCGGAGGAAGGUGGGGACGACGUCAAAUCAUCAUGCCCCUUAUGUCUUGGGCUUCACGCGUGCUA
RNAcentral lists this ribosomal RNA (768 nucleotides) under Arthrobacter echini. Its description in RNAcentral is "bacterial SSU rRNA". It matches the Rfam family "Bacterial small subunit ribosomal RNA", at positions 461 to 1227 of the family's 1533-position model. Lineage: Bacteria; Bacillati; Actinomycetota; Actinomycetes; Micrococcales; Micrococcaceae. The record is from RNAcentral.